GUGAAUCAUCGAAUCUUUGAACGCACCUUGCACCCUUUGGUAUUCCGAAGGGUACGCCCGUUUGAGUGUCAUUGUAAUCUCACAUCAACAAUUUUUGUUGUGGAUGGUGGAAUUGGACGUCUGUCGUGUUACAUGACUCGUCUGAAAUGUAUGAGUGUACCCUGCCUUGCAGCGUAUCCAGUGUGAUAAGCAUCUUCACUGGUUCAGCCUUUACAGGCGACGCCUUGGCCACAGGUAGUAUGCUUCUAACCGUCCUUAUGGACAAUACCUUGACAAUUUGACCUCAAAUCGGGUGGGACU
Molecule: unclassified non-coding RNA, 300 nt
Filed under: uncultured Sebacinales
Lineage: Eukaryota; Fungi; Basidiomycota; Agaricomycetes; Sebacinales
Description: sequence contains 5.8S rRNA gene, ITS2
Rfam family: 5.8S ribosomal RNA (bases 1-71)
Source: RNAcentral